This is a long non-coding RNA of Cryptomeria japonica (Japanese cedar), 839 nucleotides long. RefSeq lists it as uncharacterized. The record is from RefSeq and is a predicted model, not a curated record. Lineage: Eukaryota; Viridiplantae; Streptophyta; Pinopsida; Cupressales; Cupressaceae. The transcript has 2 exons.
UGUAUGUUUGAGGCAUUCUGCAGUCACGCACAUAGUAUGAGUGGGCAAGCAUACUAGUAUUCAAUAACACUACAUGAAUUUAACGUUCGGCCAUUCUGCAAAUCAUGCACACAUUGUGAGUGAGCAUUCUAUAUAAGGAAAGCUUAUCGCAGUAGAAAUAAUAUUCAUGGCAUAACAAAACAAAUAUUGUUGGUCGGUUUAUUCUUUCUAGCUUCAAUAUUUUAGCAUCCCAAUUUCGUUACAGAAUUUAGUAUUUUGGUGGAAUUCGUAGCAUUCUCAGUAAAAUGAUGUAUUGUAUUAGGUUAGGUGCCCUAUUUGGUUAUAGGAGGCAUUGGAAAAUAAUAUUACGUCUGUGUGAGCAAAGCAUUAGUCAUGAGCUUCCUUUGGAUCCGACGCAAGUUCUGAUGUCGGCUUAAGUAUGUGAACUCAAUGUUGGAGAUAUUUUACAUGCCAUCUUUCAAAUAUUUAUGUAUUCUUAUCACAAUGAGAACUAAUUUAUUAGUUGAACUAUAUCUAACUUCUCCUACUGAGGUUAAAUUACCUCAUGUUAGUGCUGUUGGGAUAUUAGCAUAUGGUUUUAACAAGCCCAUAAAUCAUUCAAGUAGUCUAAAUCCUUAGAUAUUUCAUUGCUAAUCCUAAACAAGUACAUUGAUAUGUAAUGAACAGGAACUUCCGAUAUUUGUGGGAAACUCCAAGUACUUGAUUUAUUAUUAAGUGUUAUCAAGUUAGGUGAGCAAAUGAUAGUCUUGGUCACUUUAUCUUUUAAAGAAUUAAAGCACAUGGUGGCUACUCAUGCCUCUAAGAAAGCCACGUAUACUAAAAAAACUACGUUCAAAUGU